CAGCUGAGAACAGACGGCCCGGCCUCUCAUCUCUAUCGCACUUUUACUCUCUCAGUGGAUGAGGGAUAGAUUGUACUUCUUAAAGGAAGUGGAGAAAACACCAACCAAAGAGAACUCAUGGAUGACUUAAGCUCCAAAAGCAGCCUUUCACCCAUCCAAUGUGCCCUGUUUUUCUUUGCACUAGUCUUCCUAGAUUCACAGGCGGUGGGACGCUGUUCCUCCUACAGAAUGGAAACAACUUGGGGAUAGAACUUCCCGAGCAACCUUUGAACAACAAUGUGCUAUCACUUUCAUCCUAAGAAGUUUUUCCACCAACUUUACCAUACUGCCAUUUUUCCCCCCGCUUUUCUCUUAUGUCUGAAAGGUGUUGCAGGUCUAUUCCUGACCAAAAGCCUUUGACUUCAGUGACUUCAGUGACUUCAGUGACUUCAGUGACUUGUGGAGUGAGUGCAAGCUGAUCAAGGGGUCGAAAAUGUAGAUAUUGCCAGAUGUAUGUUCACUGUCCGAGAAACAGACCGUGGAAGCUUUAUUACCGGCAAAAGUGUCCAUAACCAGAGAAUGGAACACUUAUGGAGAGAUGUUUGGAGUGCUGUGACAUGUCAGUACUACAGCGAGCUGCACAGUUUGGAGGAAGAAGGCUACCUUGACCUGUCGAAUUAUAUCCACAUAUUCUGUGUGGGAUAUGUGUUCCUACCUUGUCUGCGGGCAGAUCUGCAGCAUUUCACAGAGAGUUGGAAUAAUCACCCUUUAAGUACAGUUACGAACCUGACACCUCACCAGCUGUGGCAUAUCGGAAUGCUCCAAAUACCUGUGUCUGAGCCAAACUAUGCAGAGGUAUGUGUCUGUGUGAUAUGUGAAUGGCUUGACAGAUCUUCCUUUAAGUUUAUCAUCACUAACACAGAUUUGUUUGUUUUGAGCAUUCCAGAUUCAAUAGGUGGAAGGUAGGUGUACCUUCUUCAUCAGGAGGAUAAUCUGGAAACUGGAAACACUGACAAUGGUGUCAUUGUUCCUGACAUCUACUGAGGGUCUGCUGUGCUGCAACGUCAAGUGAACCCUACCGCUGACUCCUCAUCUUUUGGUCAGGACAUAUACAUGCAUGCUCUUCGAUUAUUUAUGAGUCUCCAGCCUUUUUAGGUGCAGUGCUCCCACACUAUGUAGGAUAUUGUUUUAGCCCCGGUGCCACUCUUGAUAAUGGCAAAAGAAAAUAAAACAUUUGGAGGAGGGUGAAAGGAUAGCAGGCCCAGCUGUCAAAGUGAGAGAGUAGGCUAUUCUGAAUAGAGCAGGUACUUUUGUGUAUUGUCUAUUUCUUGUGAGGUUUUCUGUCCUCAGAUACAGAGAGAUGUGAAAGCCUGUCUGCAGAUUAAGAGGUCCCAAUGAAGAGCAGCAGUUCUCAGUCCUGGUCCUGGGGACUCAAAAGGGUGCACAUGGUUGUUUUUGCCCCAGAACUACACAGCUGAUUCAAAUGAUCAAGUCAUCAUCAAGCUUCAAGUAGUAUUUAUGUAUUCAUUUGCGACACUAUCCUUGAUAUGAUCCUGCUAGUGUCACAUGCUACACAUGCACAUGCAUCAAUCUAUCCAAUGUUAUCAUUAUUUGUUAUGAGGGUUAUUAUUCUUAUAUUAUACAAUAAGUAUUAUUAAAGAGAUGCUUUACAUUGAAAUACAGAUAGAGAUGUAGUAGUCCCAGAGUUAAUGAUCCAAGAUCAGUUUUGCAUUUCACCUCCUGAUGAUUAUGAUGACCGACCGCGUUAGAAUAAAAAAAGCAAAGCUUAAUCAUGCUCUCUCUCUAUCCAUCUGUCUCUCGUCUGCAGGUAUGUUUUGAUGUGAGAGAGGAAGCCAGUCCCGUCAUCGUCAGAUUGAACUUGUAUUUAUAAUAUAAUAUUACAAUUAUAAUAUUUAUAAAGCAUAACACCUG
This is a long non-coding RNA of Oncorhynchus keta (chum salmon), 1911 nucleotides long. RefSeq lists it as uncharacterized. The transcript is spliced from 4 exons. NCBI's taxonomy places the organism in Eukaryota, Metazoa, Chordata, Actinopteri, Salmoniformes, Salmonidae. The record is from RefSeq and is a predicted model, not a curated record.